RNAcentral lists this unclassified non-coding RNA (218 nucleotides) under uncultured Thelephoraceae. RNAcentral's name for it is "sequence contains ITS2". The record is from RNAcentral. Lineage: Eukaryota; Fungi; Basidiomycota; Agaricomycetes; Thelephorales; Thelephoraceae.
ACACCUCAACUCUCACGGUCCGCCGUGAUGAGCUUGGACUUUGGGGGUCUUGCUGGCUUAACUGUCGGCUCCUCUCAAAUGGAUCAGCUUGCCAGUGUUUGGUGGCAUCACAGGUGUGAUAACUAUCUACGCUUGUGCUCUUCCACCAGGUAACCUUCAGUGAUGGAGGUUCGCUGGAGCUUACAGACGUCUCUCCCCAGGGAGGACAGCUUUUGAAC